RNAcentral lists this unclassified non-coding RNA (266 nucleotides) under Hevea brasiliensis (rubber tree). The record is from RNAcentral. Lineage: Eukaryota; Viridiplantae; Streptophyta; Magnoliopsida; Malpighiales; Euphorbiaceae.
GUGAAUUCUGAUCUUUUGUAUAAAAAAUAUAUUAUAUCUGAUGCUAAAAUUGGAAAAUUAUGGAUUCUGGGCAUUGCAAGAAAUGGUCAGUGAAGAACUGAGUUUUGUCUUCUUUUGAUUAUUGGUUUCCGUAUUUGAACCAAAUUGUCUAAUAUUGUAUUCUUAUAUGCUAUUUUUAUCACUAUUUUAUACAUCUAUCUCUCAUUGCUUACGUCCAGAUCUGGACUAAGCAGAGCCAAUUGUCUAUCACACACACACACACACAC